This 467-nucleotide ribosomal RNA is filed under the name uncultured bacterium. RNAcentral's name for it is "bacterial SSU rRNA". It matches the Rfam family "Bacterial small subunit ribosomal RNA", at positions 329 to 792 of the family's 1533-position model. The record is from RNAcentral.
AACCAGACUCCUACGGGAGGCAGCAGUGAGGAAUAUUGGUCAAUGGGCGGAAGCCUGAACCAGCCAAGUCGCGUGAGGGACUAAGGCCCUGCGGGUCGUAAACCUCUUUUGCCGGGGAGCAGUGGUCCGGACGCGUCCGGACCGGGAGAGUACCCGGAGAAAAAGCAUCGGCUAACUCCGUGCCAGCAGCCGCGGUAAUACGGAGGAUGCGAGCGUUAAUCGGAAUUACUGGGCGUAAAGGGUGUGCAGGCGGCUGAGUAAGACAGAUGUGAAAUCCCCGGGCUUAACCUGGGAACCGCAUAUGUGACUGCUUGGCUAGAGUGCGUCAGAGGGAGGUGGAAUUCCACGUGUAGCAGUGAAAUGCGUAGAUAUGUGGAAGAACACCGAUGGCGAAGGCAGCCUCCUGGGACGCAACUGACGCUCAUACACGAAAGCGUGGGGAGCAAACAGGAUUAGAUACCCGGGUA